UAGGGGGCAAGCGUUAUCCGGAUUUACUGGGUGUAAAGGGAGUGCAGGUGGCAGCACAAGUCAGAAGUGAAAGCCCGGGGCUCAACCCCGGGACUGCUUUUGAAACUGUGCAGCUGGAGUACAGGAGAGGCAGGCGGAAUUCCUAGUGUAGCGGUGAAAUGCGUAGAUAUUAGGAGGAACACCGGUGGCGAAGGCGGCCUGCUGGACUGAAACUGACACUGAGGCUCGAAAGCGUGGGGAGCAAA
RNAcentral lists this ribosomal RNA (245 nucleotides) under uncultured bacterium. RNAcentral's name for it is "partial 16S ribosomal RNA". It matches the Rfam family "Bacterial small subunit ribosomal RNA", at positions 528 to 772 of the family's 1533-position model. The record is from RNAcentral.